GACGAACGCUGGCGGCGUGCCUAAUACAUGCAAGUAGAACGCUGAAGGAGGAGCUUGCUCUUCUGGAUGAGUUGCGAACGGGUGAGUAACGCGUAGGUAACCUGCCUGGUAGCGGGGGAUAACUAUUGGAAACGAUAGCUAAUACCGCAUAAUAGUAGAUGUCGCAUGACAUUUGCUUAAAAGGUGCAAUUGCAUCACUACCAGAUGGACCUGCGUUGUAUUAGCUAGUUGGUGAGGUAACGGCUCACCAAGGCAACGAUACAUAGCCGACCUGAGAGGGUGAUCGGCCACACUGGGACUGGGACACGGCCCAGACUCCUACGGGAGGCAGCAGUAGGGAAUCUUCGGCAAUGGACGGAAGUCUGACCGAGCAACGCCGCGUGAGUGAAGAAGGUUUUCGGAUCGUAAAGCUCUGUUGUAAGAGAAGAACGAGUGUGAGAGUGGAAAGUU
This 450-nucleotide ribosomal RNA is filed under the name Streptococcus sp. oral taxon 064. RNAcentral describes it as "bacterial SSU rRNA". It matches the Rfam family "Bacterial small subunit ribosomal RNA", at positions 28 to 470 of the family's 1533-position model. The record is from RNAcentral. Lineage: Bacteria; Bacillati; Bacillota; Bacilli; Lactobacillales; Streptococcaceae.